Molecule: RNA transcript, 2922 nt
Organism: Pyrus x bretschneideri (Chinese white pear)
Lineage: Eukaryota; Viridiplantae; Streptophyta; Magnoliopsida; Rosales; Rosaceae
Gene name: pentatricopeptide repeat-containing protein At1g09900
Exons: 4
Source: RefSeq, a predicted model, not a curated record
ACGGAAGUGACAAAAAUGUACAAAGGGAAUAGAAAGAUCACAACCUUAAGUUUGGUCCAAAUAGACUUGGCCCAUUGGAAAAAAUUAUCAGCAAGGCCGCACAGGCCUGCCCUGCAAUCAACCCACCCCGUCAUUGCCUCCCAGGUUCAAGUGCCAUCUACGACGCCGAGGCCCUCCUCGUUCAGCUGUAGCGUACCUCGCGUUUUGCAGACACACAGAAGAAAACGACAUAAAACGGAUAAGCACGGCGGCACAUUGUCACCCACCACCGCUUCUUCACUCUUUCUUCUUUCAACCUUCUGCCCCAUCUCUUAUGUAAUACUUCUCCUUCCAUUUGAAAACGAAAGAAGCUCGCUCUGCUUUGGAGUUGGUAGGCAGAGGACAAGAAAGACUGGUAAUUUUGGACCUACGCUUUGUGGUAAGGUUGGACCCACCAAACCCAGUUCUGGGAGGCUCUUUGUGGGCUGCAGAGCUCGGUUUCUUGUUCUCUCUGAUAGCAUUCAGUGUAGAAUACAGGACGGUUACCAGAAACAUAGGCGAAAGCGUGUACUUGCUGUGUCGAAAGUUGAAACGUUUAGUUCCAAUGGUAGGCUGCAGAAUGUUGAGUAUGCCCCACAUGGGGGUUUGAAUGGAAUGGACUCUUCCAAUGGUUUCGAAGAAUUUGAGAGUAACAAUCAUCUCCGCAGGUUGGUUAGAAAUGGGGAAUUAGAAGAGGGAUUUAAGUUUCUAGAGAACAUGCUUUAUCGCGGUGAUAUGCCGGAUAUUAUUGCGUGUACGAGUUUAAUCCGGGGGUUUUGUAAGAGUGGAAAGACAAAGAAGGCGACUCGGAUUAUGAACAUUCUAGAAGACUCCGGGGCUGUCCUUGAUGUUAUAACUUACAAUGUCUUGAUCAGUGGCUACUGCAAGGCUGGUGAGAUUGAUAAUGCUUUGAGGGUUUUGGACCGGAUGAGUGUUUCUCCAGAUGUUGUUACGUAUAAUACAAUUUUGCGUACUUUGUGUGAUAGUGGGAAAUUGAAGCAAGCAAUGGAAGUUCUUGAUCGACAGAUGCAAAGGCAAUGUUAUCCAGAUGUGAUUACAUAUACCAUACUGAUCGAAGCAACUUGUAAGGAAAGUGGGGUUGAGCAGGCGAUGAAGCUUUUGGAUGAGAUGAGGAGCAAAGGAUGCAAGCCUGAUGUGGUCACUUAUAAUGUUCUUAUAAAUGGAAUUUGCAAGGAAGGACGGUUGGAUGAAGCAAUCAAAUUCUUGAACGGCAUGCCAUCAUCUGAUUGCCAACCAAAUGUCAUUACCCACAAUAUUAUUUUGCGUAGCAUGUGCAGCACUGGGAGGUGGAUGGAUGCUGAGAAACUAUUAGCUGAAAUGGUUCACAGAGGCUGUUCUCCCAGUGUUGUUACUUUCAAUAUUUUGAUUAACUUCUUGUGCCGGAAGGGUUUAUUGGGUAGAGCAAUUGACAUUUUGGAGAAGAUGCCUAAGCACGGUUGUACACCAAACUCCUUGAGUUACAACCCAUUGCUUCAUGGCUUUUGCAAGGAAAAGAAGAUGGAUAGGGCGAUUGAGUAUUUGGAUAUAAUGGUUUCUCGUGGCUGUUAUCCCGACAUUGUAACCUACAAUACUUUGCUCACAGCUUUGUGCAAAGAUGGAAAGGUUGAUAUCGCAGUUGAGAUACUUAAUCAACUAAGUAGCAAGGGUUGCUCUCCUGUUCUAAUCACAUACAACACAGUGAUUGAUGGGCUCUCAAAGGUGGGGAAAACAGAACGUGCCUUAGAACUUUUGCAUGAGAUGCGCAAAAAGGGUUUAAAGCCCGAUGUAAUUACUUAUUCUUCUCUUGUGGGAGGGCUUUGCAGAGAAGGAAAGGUUGAUGAGGCAAUUAAGUUUGUCCAUGAUUUGGAAGAUGCGGGCGUCAAGCCGAAUGCUAUCACUUUUAACUCCAUCAUGUUGGGGCUUUGCAAGGCUAAGCAAACUUGUCGUGCAAUUGAUUUCCUCACUUAUAUGGUAUCUAGAGGAUGCAAACCUACUGAAGCAACAUACACAAUUCUCAUUGAAGGCAUAGCUUAUGAAGGGUUAGCAAAAGAGGCUCUGGAGUUAUUGAAUGAAUUGUGCUAUAGAGGGGUUAUGAAGAAAAGCUCUGCUGAACAAGUGGCGGUCAAGAUGUAGAUGGACGCAGUUGUUUAACUCCACUGGAUUUGGAUUGGAUUGAAAUGUGAAAUGGCUUAGCUUAAACAGAGAAGUCGAGACCACGACGACGACAGACGGUUGUUUGCGACCCCCCAAUCACCAACCCACGACGAUCAACCCCGAGGUUUGCGACCUACGACCUCCUCCUGCAUUCAGAUCGACACUCACAAAUCCCAACCCGCCAACCCACCAUCAUCCACAAUGCUGGUCACACUUCUAGAAAGGAAGUGUACGAUUUCCACAUGUAAUCAGAAAUGGGAUUCUGAAAAAAGAAGCACGACGGUGCUACAACGACGAGGAAACUGUAAAGAAAAGCUUCCGUUUUCUCCCACAACAAUGCUUGCGAUGACCCCGCGACGAUGCUUGGGAUGAUGCAGCAGCGCUGCUCCAACAACCAUGCGAUGAAGGAAAGAGACGACGACAAAGAGCAGAGGAAGAUGUUGACAUAAAGGAGGCGGCACCUCGCCUCAUCUGCGACGAUUAGACUUGUAACCCGUGUGUGGGGUUUGGUUACAUAAUCUAGCUAUUUUGAAUUCGUAACCUGUCCUGUCAAAAUUCCAUUUAGCACCACAAACAACAGACUCAGACUCCAUUUUAAUUGACUAGAACCCAUCCCAUUAUGCCCACCAAACGGGCCCUAAGGGACUGUAAAUUAGGCUGCGGUUAUCUUGUCAUUGACAUCCACCCGAGUUGGUGUGGUUCCUCCCUGCACUUACCUGAGGGAAUCAUAUAUGCAUGCAUCUUCAUUGA